UCCCUGAUGGCUCAGAUGGUAAAGCGUCUGCCUGCAAUGCGGGAGACCCAGGUUCAAUCCCUGGUUUGGGAA
RNAcentral lists this transfer RNA (72 nucleotides) under Bos taurus (domestic cattle). It matches the Rfam family "tRNA". Rfam says of the family: Transfer RNA (tRNA) molecules are approximately 80 nucleotides in length. The record is from Rfam by way of RNAcentral. Lineage: Eukaryota; Metazoa; Chordata; Mammalia; Artiodactyla; Bovidae. RNAcentral also lists the same sequence under 2 other names.